GGAAAGGGGUUGGGAACUUCAGUCUGGGCUGUGAGGGAGAAAAGGGAUGGGAAUUUGGGCUCUUGAGAGAAAGGAUUGGGAACUUCAGUCUGGGCUCUGAGGGAGAAAGGAUUGGGAACUUCAGUCUGGGCUGUGAGGGAGAAAAGGGAUUGGGAAUUUGGGCUCUUGAGAGAAAGGAUUGGGAACUUCAGUCUGGGCUCUGAGGGAGAAAGGAUUGGGAACUUCAGUCUGGGCUUUAAAGGAGAAAGGGAUUAGGAAUUUGGACUCUAAGGGGCAAAGGGGUUGGGAAUUUCAGUCUGGGCUUUAAGGGAGAAAGGGAUGGGAAUUUGGGCUCUAAGAAAGGAUUGGGAACUUCAGUCUGGGCUCUAAGGGAGAAAGAGUUUGGGAAUUUGGGCUCUAAGGGAGAAAGGAUUCAGAACUUUGGUCUGGGCUCUGAGGGAGAAAGGAGUUGGGAAUUUCAGUCUGGGCUUUAAGGGAGAAAGGGAUGGGAAUUUGGGCUCCAAGGGAGAAAGUGGUUGGGAAUUUGGGCUCUAAGGGAGAAAGAGGUUGGGAAUUUCAGUCUGGGCUCUAAGGGAGAAAGGGGUUGGGAAUUUCUGUCUGGGCUUUAAGGGAGAAAGGGUUGGGAAUUUGGGCUCCAAGGGAGAAAGGGGUUGGGAAUUUCAGUCUGGGCUUUAAGGGAGAAAGAGUUUGGGAAUUUGGGCUCUAAGGGAGAAAGGAUUCAGAACUUUGGUCUGGGCUCUGAGGGAGAAAAGGGUUGGGAAUUUCAGUCUGGGCUUUAAGGGAGAAAGAGUUUGGGAAUUUGGGCUCUAAGGGAGAAAGGGGUUGGGAAUUUCAGUCUGGGCUCUAGAUGAAAGAGUUUGGGAAUUGGAGCUCUUAAGAGAAAGGGUUUGAGAAUUUCAGUCUGGGCUCUGAGAGGGUUUGGGAAUUUCAGUCUGGGCUCUGAGAGACGAGAGGAGGAAAAAACUCAUCAGUGACUUCCACCUGUGGUGUUGGGAAAGAGGCACUCGAGAGAGAAGAGCAAUCCCUUAGGAACUGAAGCAAUACAGAGGAGCGAGGGGCGAGUGGCUGGGGUGGGGGAGGUGUUGGGGGGGAGGUCUAUCAAGUGUCUCUUCCCUCUCUCUGCCACUGCUUUGUUUUCCUUCUUUAUUUAUAGGAUUUUUUUUUUUGGGGGGGGGGGGUUGGGGUUAUUUUUAACGUGAAAGAAUUGCACUGAACUCUGUCAAACAAAAAAAAGAUGCUGCUUUUUGUAGCUCCUAUCACGAAACAAAAACCACCACAGGAAGAAGAAGAAGAAGAAAGGAAGAAAGGAAGAAAAAGAAAGAAAGGAAGGAAGAAAAGUUGACCUUUGUUAGUAUACUGCAAUAAGACUUUGUUUUUUACAGCCAGGUCCUUCUCAGUGGUACUCCUUCUGGUGGCUUUUUUUUUCCUGGUGUAAAUAUGUUUUGCUGUAGGUGAUAAUAAAGACAAGGGAAAAAAAACCCUUCCCCCCUCACCCCCCCCUUGUAAAAGUUCCACUUUCUAAUCCCCAGCUAGCUCCAAACCCUCUCCCUCCUCUUAUCUUUGAAGCCAGCUCCUGCCUUUUGGAAGUGGUUUUUUUUGUUCCUGUACAGUGUAUUAAAAACCAACACCCACCCCCACCCCCCCCAAACCCUCCUUUUCAUUUGAGCGUUUUGAAGGAGAGGAGGAGGAGAGAGGAAGGGGAAAGUGAAGCUUGUGGGAACAGGGUGAGGGACUCCCCUCUGCAGCGCUGCUUAGAGGAGCUGACACUGGAGGGAGAGGACAUUUGGGGGUUAAAUCCUCUCUGGUUUGUUGUGGGGUUUUUUUUUUGGGGGGGGGGAUGGGGAGGUUUGGAUGAAUUAGUUUUUAUUUCUCCUCCUUUUGGUGUUUCUUUCCCCUGGGGCUUCUCAGCAGGUGGCUGUGCACAGCUCCAGCUGUGGGAGAGGAUGCGUGGAAGCAGAUCCAUGAGAACAGAGGAACGUCUCUGCCCCUGGGGUGUGUGUGAGACCUUCCUCUGUUCUCUCAGCCUUGUCCAUCCCAGGAAGCUCCCCCAGGACCCUCUUGCUGUGGCAUCAC
Molecule: long non-coding RNA, 2073 nt
Organism: Pogoniulus pusillus (Red-fronted tinkerbird)
Lineage: Eukaryota; Metazoa; Chordata; Aves; Piciformes; Lybiidae
Exons: 2
Source: RefSeq, a predicted model, not a curated record